Molecule: transfer RNA, 72 nt
Filed under: Plantactinospora alkalitolerans
Lineage: Bacteria; Bacillati; Actinomycetota; Actinomycetes; Micromonosporales; Micromonosporaceae
Description: Plantactinospora sp. S1510 tRNA-Lys
Rfam family: tRNA
About the family: Transfer RNA (tRNA) molecules are approximately 80 nucleotides in length.
Source: RNAcentral
GCGCCGCUAGCUCAACGGUAGAGCUACGCACUCUUGAUGCGUAGGUUCAGGGUUCGAGUCCCUGGCGGCGUA